AUUGAACGCUGGCGGCAUGCUUUACACAUGCAAGUCGAACGGUAACAGGCCUUCGGGUGCUGACGAGUGGCGAACGGGUGAGUAACGCAUCGGAACGUACCCAGAGGUGGGGGAUAACGCAGCGAAAGCUGUGCUAAUACCGCAUGUGAUCUGAGGAUGAAAGCGGGGGACCGAGCAGCAAUGUUUGGCCUCGCGCCUUUGGAGCGGCCGAUGUCGGAUUAGCUAGUUGGUGGGGUAAAGGCCUACCAAGGCGACGAUCCGUAGCUGGUCUGAGAGGACGACCAGCCACACUGGGACUGAGACACGGCCCAGACUCCUACGGGAGGCAGCAGUGGGGAAUUUUGGACAAUGGGCGCAAGCCUGAUCCAGCAAUGCCGCGUGCGGGAAGAAGGCCUUCGGGUUGUAAACCGCUUUUGGCAGGAACGAAACGGUGUCCGCUAAUACCGGGCGCUAAUGACGGUACCUGCAGAAUAAGCACCGGCUAACUACGUG
RNAcentral lists this ribosomal RNA (492 nucleotides) under uncultured bacterium. RNAcentral's name for it is "partial 16S ribosomal RNA". It matches the Rfam family "Bacterial small subunit ribosomal RNA", at positions 29 to 507 of the family's 1533-position model. The record is from RNAcentral.